UACAGAGGUCCCAAGCGUUGUUCGGAUUCACUGGGCGUAAAGGGUGCGUAGGCGGUCGGGUAAGUCUGAUGUGAAAUCUCACAGCUUAACUGUGAAACUGCAUUGGAUACUAUCCGGCUCGAGGAAUGGAGGGGAGACUGGAAUACUUGGUGUAGCAGUGAAAUGCGUAGAUAUCAAGUGGAACACCAGUGGCGAAGGCGAGUCUCUGAACAUUUCCUGACGCUGAGGCACGAAAGCCAGGGGAGCAAACGGG
RNAcentral lists this ribosomal RNA (253 nucleotides) under uncultured bacterium. Its description in RNAcentral is "partial 16S ribosomal RNA". It matches the Rfam family "Bacterial small subunit ribosomal RNA", at positions 524 to 776 of the family's 1533-position model. The record is from RNAcentral.